This is a non-coding RNA of Cinara cedri, 488 nucleotides long. NCBI's taxonomy places the organism in Eukaryota, Metazoa, Arthropoda, Insecta, Hemiptera, Aphididae. The record is from the annotation of a GenBank genome assembly.
GUGAACAAUAUCUUAUCUGUCUAUAGAUAAAAUCAAUAACCGGAAAAUAAAUCUAAUUGGUGCGAUGAGCCGGACUGGGUAGUAUGACUCAUAACUACAUAUAGACAAAGUCGCCCGUAACUGACUACUCCUCAGUAGAUGUUGAAUAGAAAAAGGUUUAAAGUCAGUAAAGAAACGCUUAUAAACAAUGAAAGUACUUUAUUAACUGAGACUUGGCAGCCCGUGGUUCACACAAAUGUAAGGUGGGAUACCAACAAAAAGUAUGCCAGUUAAAACUACAUCUCAAAAUGAAUAUUAUGAAUUAUAUUUAAAGGUAUUUUUAAUAAUCUCUUUGAAACAAAUGUUAUUAUCAUAAAGAAAAUUAGGAAUUUGUGUUGUUUUUUAGUUCUAAUAAAUUUUUACUUGUAAGGUGGUAACAUAAGUGAAUAUUUACUAGAAUUAUAUUUUUUUAGGCUAAUUGCAAACCAUGCGAAGUUAAUUAUCAAAAU